This 356-nucleotide ribosomal RNA is filed under the name uncultured bacterium. RNAcentral's name for it is "partial 16S ribosomal RNA". It matches the Rfam family "Bacterial small subunit ribosomal RNA", at positions 338 to 711 of the family's 1533-position model. The record is from RNAcentral.
CCUACGGGAGGCAGCAGUGGGGAAUAUUGGACAAUGGGGGGAACCCUGAUCCAGCGACGCCGCGUGAGUGAAGAAGUAUUUCGGUAUGUAAAGCUCUAUCAGCAGGGAAGAAAAUGACGGUACCUGACUAAGAAGCCCCGGCGAACUACGUGCCCGCAGCCGCGGUAAUACGUAGGGGGAAAGCGUGAUCCGGAUUUACUGGGGGUAACGGGAGCGUAGACGGUGCCGCACGUCUGAUGGGAAAGGUCGGGGCCCAACCCCGGGACUGCAUUGGAAACUGUUGAACUGGAGUACAGGAGAGGUCACCGGAAUUCCUAGUGUAGCGGUGACAUGCGUAGAUAUUAGGAGGAACCCCA